CGCAGACUAACAGGAUUUUCCUAGUACGGCGAGUGACGGAAAUUAGCCCAGCACCGAAGCCUAUAAUGUUUGUGGACAGGGCAAUGUGGUGUUAAAGUUUCAACCUGGGUGCACUAGUCUACUCGAAGUCCAACUCCGAUUACGGCUUUGGAUUUAUUGCCAUUGAGGGUGAAAGACCCGUACGGGUAGACAUAACUGUUAUUAGUGCGCCUCAGAUAUUGUUACUUUAGAGUCGGAUUGCUUGAGAAUGCAGUCCAAAGCGGGUGGUAAACUCCAUCCAAGGGUAAAUACUGGCACGAGUCCCAUAGUAAACAAGUACCGUGAGGGAAAGUUGAAAAGUACUCUGAAGAAAGAGUAAAUAGUACGUGAAGCUGCCUGCAUGGAAGCUGGUGGAGUCAAGCUUCUUAGGCUUGGAAUUGGUGCGGAAAAUUAUUUGUUUACGGGUCAAUUGUGUAUCAGCUUGAAAAUGGCUGGAUAGGUUUACCUAUCUUAGGCGUUCCGGGUUGUGCGCUUGUAAUGCAUUCUAAAUUUUGGCUCAUUCUCUUGUACUGUUUCCAAUCCUUAACAUCACAGUCAAUGUGCUUAUAUUGGUUGAUAAUCUUAUCAUGGUCUAUGUGAACUAGUUUUACUGGCUAUGGAAUGGCAGGUAAUAAUAUGAGGACUUCGGUUUACAUGUUUUCUUAAUAUUGGUUUUUACCUUGCCGAUUAUCAUUAUCUUUCAUAUUAUUCAUUAAGCGCAUUUGUUCUUAUAUCAUUUCUCACCGUAACGUUGUAAUGUUGAGAGCUG
This 787-nucleotide ribosomal RNA is filed under the name Hamatopeduncularia elongata. RNAcentral's name for it is "eukaryotic LSU rRNA". It matches the Rfam family "Eukaryotic large subunit ribosomal RNA", at positions 56 to 628 of the family's 3401-position model. The record is from RNAcentral. Lineage: Eukaryota; Metazoa; Platyhelminthes; Monogenea; Dactylogyridea; Ancylodiscoididae.